This 468-nucleotide ribosomal RNA is filed under the name uncultured bacterium. RNAcentral describes it as "partial 16S ribosomal RNA". It matches the Rfam family "Bacterial small subunit ribosomal RNA", at positions 28 to 507 of the family's 1533-position model. The record is from RNAcentral.
GACGAACGCUGGCGGCGUGCUUAACACAUGCAAGUCGAACGGAAAGGCCCUGCUUUUGUGGGGUGCUCGAGUGGCGAACGGGUGAGUAACACGUGAGUAACCUGCCCUUGACUUUGGGAUAACUUCAGGAAACUGGGGCUAAUACCGGAUAGGAGCUCCUGCUGCAUGGUGGGGGUUGGAAAGUUUCGGCGGUUGGGGAUGGACUCGCGGCUUAUCAGCUUGUUGGUGAGGUAGUGGCUUACCAAGGCUUUGACGGGUAGCCGGCCUGAGAGGGUGACCAGCCACAAUGGGACUGAGAUACGGCCCAGACUCCUACGGGAGGCAGCAGUGGGGAAUAUUGCACAAUGGGCGGAAGCCUGAGGCAGCAACGCCGCGUGCGGGAUGACGGCCUUCGGGUUGUAAACCGCUUUCGACUGUGACGAAGCGUGAGUGACGGUAAUGGGCAAAGAAGCACCGGCUAACUACGUG